GCCAGACUCCUACGGGAGGCAGCAGUGGGGGAUAUUGCACAAUGGGGGGAACCCUGAUGCAGCGACGCCGCGUGGGUGAAGGAGCGUUUCGGCGCGUAAAGCCCUAUCGGCAGGGAAGAAGGAGGACGGUACCUGACUAAGAAGCCCCGGCUAACUACGUGCCAGCAGCCGCGGUAAUACGUAGGGGGCAAGCGUUAUCCGGAUUUACUGGGUGUAAAGGGGGCGCAGACGGCAGCGCAAGCCAGGAGUGAAAGCCCGGGGCCCAACCCCGGGACUGCUCUUGGAACUGCGCGGCUGGAGUGCAGGAGGGGCAGGCGGAAUUCCUGGUGGAGCGGUGAAAUGCGUAGAUAUCAGGAGGAACACCGGUGGCGAAGGCGGCCUGCUGGACUGCGACUGACGUUGAGGCCCGAAAGCGUGGGGAGCAAACAGGAUUAGAUACCCUUGUAC
Molecule: ribosomal RNA, 447 nt
Filed under: uncultured bacterium
Lineage: Bacteria
Description: bacterial SSU rRNA
Rfam family: Bacterial small subunit ribosomal RNA
Source: RNAcentral